Cydia splendana is the source of this 7380-nucleotide long non-coding RNA. RefSeq lists it as uncharacterized. NCBI's taxonomy places the organism in Eukaryota, Metazoa, Arthropoda, Insecta, Lepidoptera, Tortricidae. The transcript is spliced from 2 exons. The record is from RefSeq and is a predicted model, not a curated record.
AAGGAUGUAGCGAAUGGUAGCUCGAACUGAGUACCUAUACAAGGUGCUCGAUUGUCUAUUAUCACAUUCAAUACCACUAAGUGCUACGGGUUACGCUCGUAGCGCGUAGCCACGGUUUCGUCGUAUGUAGCGCGUAGUCGCUACGAACAGUGUACCCGACAGUCGGGUUCUUGGUGUUGAAUGUGUUAAUAUACACCCUGUAAAUUUGGUACACAAUAUUUUUUAUUAGUGACAAACUUUAUCGAUGUUAUAUCGAAUCGGAUUCGCUCCCUGAACGCAGAUACUUUCUAGCCUUGACAUGGCCAGUAUCUAAAUAAAUCGAGGAUUUUUUUAUUAUAUUAUGACUUGCAGCCAGUUUUGAAUAUUUGUGAGUGAUUUUCGACGUGAAAUAAAUGCAAACCGAAACUGUGACCGUUCGAAGACAUUACCAAAUGUCUUGCCAACUAGCGAGUCCCAAAUUUUUUGUUAUAGUUUUACCCUGAGCACAGAAUAGAUAAUAGUAGGUAAGGUUCACCCUCUAACAAAACGCGUCUAUUACGACAGAUAUGACCGCUAGGUGGCGCACGCGCGAGCAGACGUCCGUUCCGUAGCGGUGCGCGGCAACCACUACUGCUGGACACCAAAAUUGGUGUGGGCCGCAUGUACUUGUAGCGACGUGACGAAAUCGCGGAGUGAGCCACGCCUGCCCUGAGACAUAGAUAGAGUCCCUUUUGGUAAAAAUGUUCAAUUACGACUGUUACUAUUCCAAACGAAAGAAUUAUUGAUUAUAUUAGAAGUGUCAAGUCUAAGAAAAAUACAGCCGAAUUAUUUCUUAGACUAUUAAAUUUCCUUUUCUUCUGUUAAUAAUAAUAACUCUUUUCUUAGGGUUUAUUUAAUUAUAUCAAAAAUAGUUCUGAAAGGUAAAACACUCAGAAAUAAACAAAACUGACUGCACCGAGGCUAUUGUUUAAAAUAGUCUCGCAACUUGUUGUAAUGUCGAGUUUUAGUGUUAUUAUAAGAAUUCAUUGUGAAGGCGUGCUUGGAGGAAGAUGGCGUCACAAAACAGAAGUUUCUAAUAAUUAUAAUACUACCUCUAUUUAUGAAGCUAAUCGUUGGGGGCUACUAAAGUAAGGACACCGAGCACGAAGAAUUACGUACAUUGACCCGCCAUCUCCUAUCUCUAUCGCACGCGCAUAAUUAAAUCGAUAUCCCGCUCGCACAGUGACAUUGAGCGCGGGCAUCAUCAGCAGGACAGCGAUAUGAUUAUGCGCGUCGUCAAUGUACAAAAUUCUUCCUGCUUAGCUUACUAAAAGAAUCUGUUAGAGUGAGACAGUAGGUAGGUCCAUCACUCGAAUCUGUUGGAAGUCGGUUGAUAAAAUAUAGCAGUUGAAUUGAUUAGGUUUAAAUUAAUUUGGAUCAAUGUACGAAAUUCUUUGUGCUUGUCGUCCUUACUCUAAAGCAAAGAGAAUUGAUUGUAAUAGAGAGGUAAAGUCUAAGAAAACACGUGCCCCUUAGUUGGACAUCCAAAACAGAUGGCGCUGUACUGCGCCAUAUGUUUUGCGGUCACUGGAUUGUCAAACGUCAACUUUUGACAAUCAGAGUUACCGCAAAAUGUAUGGCGCUGUACAGCGCCAUCUCGUUUACGUACCUGUCAAAAUUGAAAGCACGCAAUUGUCUUAUAUUUUACGCAUAAUUGUUUUCCGUGGUAUUUUCUCGGAAACGUUCGUAUUUGUCAUGCUACUUCAGUCAACCUCAGUACUGUUUGUACCGAGACAGAGAAUCACCAAGACACGUUCGUACGUUUCCGUGAAAAUACGAUGGAAAAUAAUAAUGCACUUCAUCUGUACUUACUUACUUUAGAGUUUAGAGCAAAAGAUACAUUUGAUUGAGUGAGAUGCGUAAAAUCUAAGACAAUUUCGUGCUUUUAAUUUGACAGAUUAAACGAGUAGGCGCUGUACAGCUUCAUACAUUUGUAAGGUUCUUAAAUAAUUUGUGACGUCAUCUUUCCAAGUCGGCCUGGUGAUUUGAUUCUAUUUUAAUAUUAAUUGUUAAAGAACUACAUUGCCGUGUGGCGAGGCAGAUUUUCCCACCAGCGUAUUUGACUAAGUCUUUUGGGGGUGUUUGUUUAGUUUCGAAAGAUCUCAACUGCCGUCAAUGUUUGGAACAUUUAGUUGAGAAACGAUGUUGGAAGGCGGAAUAUGUACCUUAACAUGAGGUGUUAAGGUUCAAAUUGUACACUGGCAAUGGAACCGUCACCAACUAAGAACAGCAUAGACAAAGGAAUAUAUUAAGACAUUAAAAUUACGUACACGUCGCGCGCUCAGUACAGUCGGUGCUCCAGUAGAAGAUCCUCGAAACGGAUCGAAAUAUCGAGCGAUUAUUCGACAUAAUAAUAUAUGUUUAAUAUUUUUUUUAAUAUACAUACUAAGAUGCUUAAAGUAGUGCAGAAUAUCACAUAUUUGACAGGGAAGUAGAUGGCGUACGGCGCCAAACAUUUUUUGGUGGAUUGAAUGUUAACACUUGAAAACGUGGUUACAGCCUAAUUUAUGUGCCGUGCAGCACCAUCUACUUCAGCUGUAAAAACUUUGGUUACAAUACGUUUUCACUACUGUUAUAGAAAAGUGUCGUAGUAUAUUCUUUUUUCUACAAAACCAGAGUUGUUGUUGAUCUGAUGUCGUUUCUUAACUCAAAAUAAAUGAAAUAUAUGGUUAAUAAAUAUGUACAAUUUUCGAAUUAUUUGAUGUUUCGCUUCUUAGUCCUUGCAAAGGUUUAGUAAUUUUUAACAAGAACAACAAAACAUGUCUGUGAAUGGGUGCAAUAUUGAAGUAUGUGACUUUGAUUGUUACCUUUUAUGAAGAAAUUGUUCAGUAUAUCUUGAGACACGGACUUAAAUAGGUUCUCAUCGCGACGUGUGUUUUGGGCCUUUUUCUCAAGAAUUACACUAAGAUUAGGUUUUGUGUUAUUAACCUUUUGAACGCCAUCUGUCAAACCUAAGAACGUCGACACACGCCAAUAUCUCUGGCACAAGCUAGCAAAUAUAAACGGUGCUGGCAACGUUGGAGGUUACUUUAACAACGUACGCCGUAGCACUUACAAGCGUUCUUGGCGCCACGAGCAUGACUUCUUACGACGCCUUUAAGGGUUCUUGGCGUUCAAAAGGUUAAGCACUGAUGAAGCUGACAAGUCCACAAAUACACAUAAUCAGAAAAUAAAACGACCACCAUAUUUCAAAAUUUCCAAUACCAAUCCAACGACUAAGAAGCUAACUCAAUGCUAUUGGCGCCCUUUUCUUUGUAAUUGUAAAUACGACAAUGUAUUAGUGUUAAUGAUCUGCUCGCAAUGGACAGAUCGUCGGGGGGCCUACCGCGAACAUCGAAAGUUUCUUUAUCUGCCUAUCAUUCUAAUAUGCUAGAGCGAUAGAAGAAUGGGCCAUUUUAUUUAUAGUUGUACACUAAACUUGUUUUUUAUUUAGAUUUGGGAUUGUUAUUUCUACUCGGAAUCACGAGCUCUAUCGAUCCUAAUAGGAGAAAAAAAGUAACCCAAGUUUUUUAAUUUCCAUUCCGUUACUUUUUUUUAUAGAUUGGCGGUAACGGAAUUGAAGUAUCGAAGAAAUGUAUGGAAAUUUUGGGACACUUUUUUUUUUAGCUACAGGAUCUAAAAAUCUCGUGAUGCUGAGUAGAAAUAACAAAAAUCUCGUAUUUUUUAGAGUAUAGUGGUAUAAUUUCAAAUAAAAUGGCCCAUUAUAAUAUGUAUAACGAAAUUUGGAUGUUCACAGUAGGUGCUCGGUUCAGACAAUAGAUAAAGAUGAAUAUGGCAGGCCCAUCCGUUUUACUCGUGUGUUGCGUUUUGUGUUUCUAUGACGUUUUCGGGAGUGGUAUCUGUGGGAAUCGUUUUAUCGGUUGACAUCUUAUUUUUUAAUUUGAUGUCAAAAAAUUACGGAUGUAAUGAAAGGUCCUUCUUUAUUUAGUUACAAAGAAACCCGAAGACACUGCGUUGAUGUGUCAUUCUCACGCAAAAAGGUUAUUAUUUAAAUGUCAAAGAGGGAUCUUUACCAUCGAUACAAUUAUAUGGGACAACAUAGAAUGUUGAGGCUGAAAUGGAAACGCCAGUAAUGCCUAAAGUAUUAGAUGGAUUUGAAGUAACGGUAAGGAACGCGCGCCUAUACAUAUAAUUAUACAAUCAAUAAUAUACAAGGUCAGUCAGAAUCACAAAAAUUAUUAUUUUAACUACUAGUUGUGUCCAUCUUCAUUUUAGAAUAUUUUUCUUAUAAAUGACUACAGUUAUAUUUACUACACACUCGUCGAGAGCCUCUCACCGAGAGUUGGCACCACUCCGAUCCAAUCGGAGACGAGAACGGAGCAGUAUGUACACACUCGUUCUCGACCUGUCUGGGGGUGUCUCGACGAGUGUGUACAGCCGGCAUUAGACUCAAAUAUUGGAUUGCUUACUGAUAUCGAACUAUUUCUCGUACAUUUUUCUAUCGUAUUGAGGCGCGCGGCAUGGUCGGACGUUGGUUGAGGUCAUUCCUAUUUAUUCUAUUUUGUUUAGAUGAUGGAAAUGGCCUAUUGGUUGACAAGAUUCCAUAAAUGGAACGAAUAGGUUCGGUUAAGGAUACGUAAAUAGGUUAGGCAUAGGUUCUAUUUAAUAGAAGUAGGUUUUGAACGUCAUAGAAACGCUCUAAACGCUAUUUGAGAGCUGAAAUAUGAAUAAGUUAUGAAUAAAUACAAAAAAUUAAAAACGUUUCGGUUUGUUUAAGCUGCGAAUACACCGGGCGACAAAAUGUCCUUGGAUAUUUUUCGCCUAGUGAAUUAGAGGCUUUAGGUCUAUUUUGGUAUUUUGACGGUCUUGACUUCAGAAUGGCGAGAGGAAUUUUGUAUGCUUUUAGACAACAACUGAGAGCGCCCGGCGCUCUAAGCUCUUAAAAUUACAGCAAUUAAAAUUACAGCUCCGAGAUAUUAAAAUUACAGUUAUAUUGCCUUAUUUAUUCUGCUUUCGUGCCUGCUAAAUUCCGGAAUUAAUACCGGUAUUGGAUAUAACCACAAAAAAAAUUUUUAAGGUAAAAUCAGUUAAAUGGUCAAUGAAAAAGGCAUGUUUUUAAUGUUUUCAUAAAUAAACAAUUAUACAAUUGACUAACAUAAUCUUUGCAUUUUCUGUAACAACAGGAUUUUAUGAAGAUAAAUACUCUACUACAUUAAUUAUUAAAUUGCAAUUUUUUUUUGAUGAAACUAAUAAGUUCCAAUAUUUAUUAUGUAUUUCGGGAUUCCGAAAUUCCGGUAUUUAUGCCCUAGGCCUAGUUAGAGAUUGGCUAUCAAACUGUAAUUUUAGUUUCUACGAUAUAAUAAAAAGGCAUAAGCAGAUAAGCACCACCGACUUUAGGACCGACCGUCAAUUAUUAAAAUAGGCCUUAGGGUUUAAAUAAUAAAAAAAAUUUUUUUUUAACGAAACUUGUUUGGACAAGGCUGUCCUUGUUACACGAAUGCUUCCCGUUUUGAAUAAUGUUUUUAUAAGUGUCAUGAAAUUGUAACAUUUUUUUUUCAUUAAUUAGUUUGUAAUUCUUUUUAAUGUAUGGCUAAAAUUGAAUAGUUAUCUGUUAAGUAUUUGGCUCAUUCGAGGAAAUUCAUAAAAUUUCAAAAUAUGAUUGUAAAUAUAUAACGGCGCAUCACUUGUGUACGCAUCGCUAUCCUUUGCGCCCGAUUUAUAAUAAUAAUAUUUAUAUAUCAUCAAGUACAAAUCUAGGAGUUACUUAUUAGUUGGAUCCGUCUACGUGGAGUAACUAAGUCAUAAAUCCAUCAGUAUGGUUACCACGAGUUUGACACUGACAUUUUCGUCUGCGUAACUUACUGUCUGUACAUCUAACACGCACUUAUAUGACAGCACGAGUAAGUAAGUUACGCACACGCGAAUAUGUCAGUGUCAAACUCAUGGUAAGGCUACAGGAAACGAAUUUCUACCAGCUCUAGUAUUAAAGGCCCCAUUCCAUGGAUAAUUUUCAGUUAUUUUGCACUAGACAUUCGUUAUCGGUUUUUGCCCGACCUCCCUUUCCUUAACAAAGGUUUAGCUUUAAAGAUUGUUGUUUGCCUUAUAAAAAAAUGUGAUCUUAUGACGAUUAUACUUAAAGGGUAUCUUUGCGUUGCGGUACUAGGCUCCGCCCUAAAAAAAAAACAAAAAACAUUUUUUUUUUCAAGCCGCAGACCGCAGCGCGAGAAAUAAUAUGCCUUGUAUAAUAAUAACAAAUGAAUUAUGUAUUGUAUAAUAUAAGACUUGACAAUGUAUGGAUUGGGUCUGAGCGGACUGUCAAUUGGAGGCAACGGUGAGGCGGAGGGCUUUAUUGAACAUAAAAAAAGAAUGUCGCUCACGUAACGCCAUUCUAAUACUUCUGAAAAUGCUGAGAAAGCGAUGUAAUAUUUCAUGACUCGGCUUACAAAUUGGCAAUAAGUAUAUUCUAGAGCAGUGGUUCCCAAAAUUGAUUGGGCUCCUAGCUCCGACCCACCUAACAAAAACUGCUAAAUUCGGGACCCACCGUCGGCCGUCUUAGAAUUGGGGCAUAAAAUAUUAUUGGUAACGCUCAGAUGCCCUAGUAGUUUCAGGGCCCACUCGAUAUUCGCUCGCGACCCAUAGUUUGGGAAAUGCUGUUCUAGAGCUUUACGGAUUUGGAAGGCAAAGGCGUUACGUAAGCGACGUUCUCGUGGAAUUCUCCUAACACAGUAAAUUUAUAUUUUGUUUACAAGUUACGUUAUAAUUUUGCACUGUUAUUGCAUUUUAGGCUUCAUCGACAAUUGACAAAGUUGUUAAUUUUACCUGCAAAUUCUAAUCCGUUUUCUUCUAAAAAUUGUUCAUUCGAUGUAUUUGGUUACUGAAGAUACCGUCACAUUUAGCAUGCCAUUUUGAACUUAAUGCAUUUAGCACUAGGGUUCGAAAUGGUACUGGCUGGUGAUUUUGAAAAGAUGAACUGAUCUGAACUUAUCUCCAUCAUAAAUAAUAGGUAUCUUUACUAAAAGGCUCAGGCUUAUAAAGACCCCUAGUGGCAAUACUGUUUAGGGCCACUUGCACCAUCCCACUAUGUCUCUGGUAUGGGAUAUGUAUGGACACACCAGGUGUGCAGUGAUGAUUGUAUGAACUAAUUUUUAAUAUGUGCUCCUCCAUUUUGACACGUUUUUUAUACAAUAGUUUAUUUGUACCCCUGUCAGUAUAAAGCCCUUCCCGCGACUACUUUUUUUAUAAAUCGUAAGUUCUUAGUUCCACAGUGAGUAAAAAAUAUGUAAAUUUUUUCUUAUCCUAGUAAGUAAAAGAUCUCAUAUGUCAUAUUUUUUUGUUUUGUCUUUUUUAUAUUUUGAGGAACUUCGGAAUAGUCGAGUUGAUUUAAAGACAACCUAUGUAAAAUAAAAUAUAUUGAUGUAUAUA